RNAcentral lists this ribosomal RNA (301 nucleotides) under uncultured bacterium. RNAcentral describes it as "partial 16S ribosomal RNA". It matches the Rfam family "Bacterial small subunit ribosomal RNA", at positions 509 to 807 of the family's 1533-position model. The record is from RNAcentral.
CAGCAGCCGCGGUAAUGCGUAGGUGGCAAGCGUUGUCCGGAAUUAUUGGGCGUAAAGGGCUCGCAGGCGGUUUCUUAAGUCUGAUGUGAAAGCCCCCGGCUCAACCGGGGAGGGUCAUUGGAAACUGGGAAACUUGAGUGCAGAAGAGGAGAGUGGAAUUCCACGUGUAGCGGUGAAAUGCGUAGAGAUGUGGAGGAACACCAGUGGCGAAGGCGACUCUCUGGUCUGUAACUGACGCUGAGGAGCGAAAGCGUGGGGAGCGAACAGGAUUAGAUACCCCUGUAGUCCCUGUCUCUUAUAC